Trifolium pratense (red clover) is the source of this 933-nucleotide long non-coding RNA. RefSeq lists it as uncharacterized. The record is from RefSeq and is a predicted model, not a curated record. The transcript has 2 exons. Lineage: Eukaryota; Viridiplantae; Streptophyta; Magnoliopsida; Fabales; Fabaceae.
UCCAAAAAAGCCCAACUCCAAGUUACAUUUUUUUUUUUUUUUGAUAAGCAACUCCAACUCCAAGUUAAACCAUUUUCAUCAUCAUCAACAUCGUAACUCUCUUCACCGUCGCCAUCAUCAUCAACCUCGCCAUUAACGCCAUCAUCACCCUCGUCAUUAACGCCGUCAUCACCCAACAUCACUUCAUCCAUCGCCGUCGCCAUUAACGCCGUUCAUCAUCAACAUCAUUUCAUCAUCUUCACCGUCGCCAACAUUUGAAGGAACCAAACACAAAAUGGUGAAAAGAAAACAUGAUAUCAGAAUCAUGUUGUCGUUAGUUAUUAAGUUUAGUUGAGCACAAAAUGUGACAAUUGAGUUCAAUGAGAACAAGAGAAAGCUUUGAAGUGCUUCUUGAGCCUUCUUAGAAGCCUCAGAGAAAGCUGGUGAAGCAAAUUUCAAAGCUUCUUUCCCAGCCUGCUGCACAAUUGGCAACCCGGCAUCGAUUCCCGGCUUCAAAAAAUUCCCUAUAGCUUCAAGACCACGUUCUGCCAAGUCCAAAAAACCUUGAACCUGAUCAAUUGUUUGCUCCACCUACAAAAACAAAAAUGCAAUUUUAGCAACUGGGUAAGGUAGAAAUUUGUUAAAGUUUGAAACUUUGGAAGAAAAACUUACUAGGGUGAUAGAAGUAACAAUUUGGUCCACGGAUAUGGCAGCUCUGGCUUCUUUUGGAAUGGUGAAGAGAGAAAGUAGUGAAAUGGUGGUUGAAGUUGGUAAUGAUAUGCGUUUAAAUUGAGGUUUUGAGAAGGUGGUGAUUGUGUGAGGUGAAGUUGAGAGAAUUGAGUUCAACAUCUGCAUAUUCAUGAGUCCAACAUUAUUUGACUUAUGUACCUUGGUUCUUAGUAGUUUAGUACUUGUAAAAAGUAAAAAUAAAUUAAGUUGUGAAGCUGUUUGUUA